UCAUGACUCAGGACGAACGCUGGCGGCGUGCCUAAUACAUGCAAGUCGAGCGGACAGAAGGGAGCUUGCUCCCGGAUGUUAGCGGCGGACGGGUGAGUAACACGUGGGUAACCUGCCUGUAAGACUGGGAUAACUCCGGGAAACCGGAGCUAAUACCGGAUAGUUCCUUGAACCGCAUGGUUCAAGGAUGAAAGACGGUUUCGGCUGUCACUUACAGAUGGACCCGCGGCGCAUUAGCUAGUUGGUGGGGUAAUGGCUCACCAAGGCGACGAUGCGUAGCCGACCUGAGAGGGUGAUCGGCCACACUGGGACUGAGACACGGCCCAGACUCCUACGGGAGGCAGCAGUAGGGAAUCUUCCGCAAUGGACGAAAGUCUGACGGAGCAACGCCGCGUGAGUGAUGAAGGUUUUCGGAUCGUAAAGCUCUGUUGUUAGGGAAGAACAAGUGCGAGAGUAACUGCUCGCACCUUGACGGUACCUAACCAGAAAGCCACGGCUAACUACGUGCCAGCAGCCGCGGUAAUACGUAGGUGGCAAGCGUUGUCCGGAAUUAUUGGGCGUAAAGGGCUCGCAGGCGGUUUCUUAAGUCUGAUGUGAAAGCCCCCGGCUCAACCGGGGAGGGUCAUUGGAAACUGGGAAACUUGAGUGCAGAAGAGGAGAGUGGAAUUCCACGUGUAGCGGUGAAAUGCGUAGAGAUGUGGAGGAACACCAGUGGCGAAGGCGACUCUCUGGUCUGUAACUGACGCUGAGGAGCGAAAGCGUGGGGAGCGAACAGGAUUAGAUACCCUGGUAGUCCACGCCGUAAACGAUGAGUGCUAAGUGUUAGGGGGUUUCCGCCCCUUAGUGCUGCAGCUAACGCAUUAAGCA
RNAcentral lists this ribosomal RNA (867 nucleotides) under Bacillus pumilus. Its description in RNAcentral is "bacterial SSU rRNA". It matches the Rfam family "Bacterial small subunit ribosomal RNA", at positions 17 to 866 of the family's 1533-position model. Lineage: Bacteria; Bacillati; Bacillota; Bacilli; Caryophanales; Bacillaceae. The record is from RNAcentral.